Molecule: long non-coding RNA, 210 nt
Filed under: Nicotiana benthamiana
Lineage: Eukaryota; Viridiplantae; Streptophyta; Magnoliopsida; Solanales; Solanaceae
Description: long non-coding RNA (NBEN_LNC012457)
Source: RNAcentral
UGAUCUUAGGACCUUAUUCCCUAGGCGCAACUAUAAAUAGUGAGCGUUGUUAUCAUAGUACGGACACGAAUUUCUGGCAAACUUAUGCUUUAAUCAAUCCAAAGCUCUAUAUAUUUUUAUCUUCUUGUUCCUUGAUUUUAUCAUUGUUGUGUCCGGAAGUCUUGCUCCCAAAAACAUUAUUUCUGCUAUUUUAUCUUCAUUUCAAGGCUA